ACUAAUGUUUUGUAUCCAUAUAUUUUUCGCGGGAACCGUGUGUAAGUGUGACCGAAAAAAUGCGCGUAUGUAACGUAUUGGACCAGUAAAUAAGCUAUUGUUGAAGUUUCUAAUUUAUUGUCACCUUUUCCGGGACAUGUUAUAUGUUAUAUGCGCUGUGUCAGAGGUAAUCUGUUCUAUAAUUGCACUUCGGGCGAAGGACUACUGUUGAAGUAUUAUACUUUUAACAUUUAAAUAUUAAUUAAAUACUAAUAAGUUAAAUUGUCCAUUAAUUGAAAACAAUAAUUUUAAUUUUACAGACUAGUCAAAUUAUUUACGACUUUGGAUGAUGGUUGUCGUUUUCCUGUUCUGGCAUAGGUGUGCUGUCUGUGUUGAUUCUAAUUAGUGUCACUCCUCCCUCCCAUUACGUGUUUAAAUAUGGAUGUUUAUAAAAAGCCAGAGAUCGACCAAAAAAAAGAUUUAUUUUAAACCUUGUUAUAGAUAAAAUAUAAUUUUUUCCUGAGGAUUCCAGAAUCUUAUGCCAACUGUUAAUUUUUCUUUUAUUUAUUUAUUUUAAAAUUAUUGUAGGUACUUUGAUUACAAAAUCACUUUAUAUUGAACAUUGUAAAAUAUAUGUGGAACUUUUGAGAGUUGGCAGAGUGCUAUAGAGCAGAGGUAGCUUCAUCAAUGGCAAACUUGGGAGCCUGGAAUGUGAAUAAUGAUUUAUUUAUUGUCCAGAUUUGCAGUAUCUGAAUUGACUUCCUUCACUGUACAAGAAACAUGUGUGUACAAAAUAAUUUAACUAUAUAGGGUGUCCCAUGAAGAUUCGAUGAAUGCAAUAACUUUUGUUCUAU
Molecule: non-coding RNA, 833 nt
Organism: Cinara cedri
Lineage: Eukaryota; Metazoa; Arthropoda; Insecta; Hemiptera; Aphididae
Source: the annotation of a GenBank genome assembly